RNAcentral lists this ribosomal RNA (487 nucleotides) under Euscyrtus bivittatus. RNAcentral's name for it is "partial 16S ribosomal RNA". It matches the Rfam family "Archaeal large subunit ribosomal RNA", at positions 1911 to 2651 of the family's 2987-position model. The record is from RNAcentral. Lineage: Eukaryota; Metazoa; Arthropoda; Insecta; Orthoptera; Gryllidae.
CUUCUUGAUAAUAUAAGAAGUCGGGCCUGUUCACUGAUAAUUUAAAGAACUGCGGUAUUUUGACCGUGCAAAGGUAGCAUAAUCAUUAGUUUUUUAAUUGAAAGCUUGUAUGAAUGGUUUGACGAAAUUUUAACUGUCUCUUAUAUAUGAAUUGAAUUUUAUUUUUAAGUUAAAAAGCUUAAAUGAUAAUGGGGGACGAGAAGACCCUAUAGAUUUUUAUAUAUUUAUUUUAAAUAAAAUAUUUAGUUUAUAUUAUUUUUUUAACUAUAAAUAUAUUUUGUUGGGGUGACAUGGAAAAUAUUUAACUUUCUUGUUUUAAAACUUAUAUAAUUGGUUAAUAGAUCCUUUAUUAUGGAUUAUAGAUUAAAAUACCUUAGGGAUAACAGCGUUAUUUUAUUUGAGAGUUCUUAUUGAUAAUAAAGAUUGCGACCUCGAUGUUGGAUUAAGAUUACUAUUGGAUGAAGAAGUUUAAUUAGUUGGUCUGUUC